Juglans microcarpa x Juglans regia is the source of this 1103-nucleotide long non-coding RNA. RefSeq lists it as uncharacterized. The record is from RefSeq and is a predicted model, not a curated record. The transcript is spliced from 4 exons. NCBI's taxonomy places the organism in Eukaryota, Viridiplantae, Streptophyta, Magnoliopsida, Fagales, Juglandaceae.
GUUGAAUUUUGACGUUGGAGGUUGCCACCAAGUCGCACGUUGAACAAACGUUAAAGAGAGAAAAAUGACACAAACAAUACGGAAUAACAUGGACUUUUUCAAUGCUAGUAAUGGUACAAAGGCAUUGGCAUCUGGCCAUCAAUUUCUUGACUUGCAGGAUACGUGCAGUUGCAAGAGAAGCCCAAUUGGUUCCCUUUUAAGGGUUUAUUGCUCAUUUUGUAUGGCUCAUUUCACUUUUUACUCUCUCUUAGGGGCCUUAAAUUCAAGCAAUAACUCGAGAGAAUCUUUUUACUGCCAAUAAUAUCCUCCUUUCGAUAUGAUUAUCCAUGUCCAUAUGCCAAAUAGGACCAUGGUUGGGAGAGGUGACAUGGGAGAAUUGCGUGACUUAGUGGGUACUUUUAAUGGCGUUGCUUGUAUAGUCAUCGACCAUCAUUCACGCCUUAACUUGAAAGCAUGAUGGGCAUCUUUUUCUUUGACAAAUAACUUCUGGGACUAGGAGUCUGAAGUAUGGGUCUUUGAAAAGCAGGCUAAGACUUGUAUCUUUUGCAAUCACGGGCUUGAUUCUAUGCGAAAAAUGUUGGAAGCAUGAAAGCUUAUUCCCAAAUUCACAUGAUGCUAUGCAGGUAUGGUAUGGGUCCACCCAAUACAAGACAAAGACUUUAGUCUCAUAUGCAAUCACAUGAUGCACAACUGCGAGACAAACCAAUUGCAUGGUCAUUACAAAGGCAUAACAGCCAUCAGUGGAUGAUUCUAAGUCUGUAAAAAACCAUCUUUUUCAUGAUGAAACGUUGCCAUCUUUCUUCCGAAGAUUAGCCUGGUCACCUGAUGGGUCAUUUUUACUUGUGCCUGCAGGUUCUUACAAGAUUUCACCUGCAUCUGAAACAGUAAAUACAGCUUACAUAUUUUCCAGAAAGGAUCUCCCAAGGUAAGAUUUUAGCUGCAUAGUUUUUUAGUUGUCCCUUCUGAUAUUGCACUUCUGUUGCAUUCUUAAGACGAGCUAUGGGCACCGUAUAUUGAGCCUGAUCUCUUAAUGCAAUUCAGCUGAAUUAAUAUCAAUCUGUUCUUUUCAGUACGCAAUAACUACACUUUUAAUCAAUAAAAUA